CAAGAGCGUAUGUAAAAGUUGUUGCAGUUAAAAAGCUCGUAGUUGAACCUUGGGUUUGGUUGGCUGGUCCGCUUUUUUGCGAGUACUGGAUUCAACCGAGCCUUUCCUUCUGGCUAACCAGUCGUUUCGGCGGCUGGCGAACCAGGAUUUUUACUUUGAGAAAAUUAGAGUGUUCAAAGCAGGCAUUAGCUUGAAUACAUUAGCAUGGAAUAAUAGAAUAGGACGUUAUGGUUCUAUUUUGUUGGUUUCUAGGACCAUCGUAAUGAUUAAUAGGGACGGUCGGGGGCAUCAGUAUUCAGUUGUCAGAGGUGAAAUUCUUGGAUUUACUGAAGACUAACUACUGCGAAAGCAUUUGCCAAGGAUGUUUUCAUUAA
This 374-nucleotide ribosomal RNA is filed under the name uncultured eukaryote. RNAcentral describes it as "partial 18S ribosomal RNA". It matches the Rfam family "Eukaryotic small subunit ribosomal RNA", at positions 592 to 976 of the family's 1831-position model. The record is from RNAcentral.